AGCCAACGUGGCAUAGUGGUUUGAGUACUAGACUAUGACUCUGGAGACUAGAGAUUGAUUCCCUGCUCAGCUA
Non-coding RNA from Phrynosoma platyrhinos (Desert horned lizard), 73 nucleotides. The record is from the annotation of a GenBank genome assembly. Lineage: Eukaryota; Metazoa; Chordata; Lepidosauria; Squamata; Phrynosomatidae.